GAUCCUGGCUCAGAUUGAACGCUGGCGGCAUGCUUUACACAUGCAAGUCGAACGGCAGCAUAGAGAGCUUGCUCUCUGAUGGCGAGUGGCGAACGGGUGAGUAAUACAUCGGAACGUGUCCGUUGGUGGGGACAACCACCGAAGGGUGGCUAAUACCGCAUAAGACCUGAGGGUGAAAGGCCGGGGACCGCAAGGCCUGGCGCGAACGGAGCGGCCGAUGACUGAUUAGCUGGUGGG
This 237-nucleotide ribosomal RNA is filed under the name uncultured bacterium. RNAcentral's name for it is "partial 16S ribosomal RNA". It matches the Rfam family "Bacterial small subunit ribosomal RNA", at positions 15 to 252 of the family's 1533-position model. The record is from RNAcentral.